RNAcentral lists this ribosomal RNA (308 nucleotides) under uncultured bacterium. RNAcentral's name for it is "bacterial SSU rRNA". It matches the Rfam family "Bacterial small subunit ribosomal RNA", at positions 28 to 334 of the family's 1533-position model. The record is from RNAcentral.
GAUGAACGCUAGCGGCAGGCUUAACACAUGCAAGUCGAGGGUAACAUUGGUGCUUGCAUCAGAUGACGACCGGCGCACGGGUGCGUAACGCGUAUAGAACCUACCUUUUACAGAGGGAUAGCCUUUAGAAAUGAAGAUUAAUACCUCAUAGUAUUGCGAUUUGGCAUCAGAUUGUAAUUAAAGAUUUAUCGGUAAAAGAUGGCUAUGCGUCCUAUUAGUUUGUUGGUGAAGUAACGGCUUACCAAGACUACGAUAGAUAGGGGUUCUGAGAGGAUAGUCCCCCACACUGGUACUGAGACACGGACCAG